GACGAACGCUGGCGGCGUGCCUAACACAUGCAAGUCGAACGGAGUUAAGACUUCGGUUUUAACUUAGUGGCGAACGGGUGAGUAACGCGUGAGAAACCUGCCUUUCAGUGGGGGACAACAGUUGGAAACGACUGCUAAUACCGCAUAAUGUAUUUUGACCGCAUGAUUGAAAUACCAAAGCUUUAUGUGCUGAAAGAUGGUCUCGCGUCUGAUUAGCUAGUUGGUGAGGUAACGGCUCACCAAGGCGACGAUCAGUAGCCGGUCUGAGAGGAUGAACGGCCACAUUGGGACUGAGAUACGGCCCAGACUCCUACGGGAGGCAGCAGUGGGGAAUAUUGGGCAAUGGGGGAAACCCUGACCCAGCAACGCCGCGUGAAGG
RNAcentral lists this ribosomal RNA (379 nucleotides) under uncultured bacterium. RNAcentral's name for it is "bacterial SSU rRNA". It matches the Rfam family "Bacterial small subunit ribosomal RNA", at positions 28 to 407 of the family's 1533-position model. The record is from RNAcentral.